CACGUAGUUAGCCGGUGCUUAUUCUUACGGUACCGUCAUUAGCUCUCUUUAUUAGAAAGAACCGUUUCGUUCCGUACAAAAGCAGUUUACAACCCGAAGGCCUUCAUCCUGCACGCGGCAUUGCUGGAUCAGGCUUUCGCCCAUUGUCCAAAAUUCCCCACUGCUGCCUCCCGUAGGAGUCUGGGCCGUGUCUCAGUCCCAGUGUGGCUGGUCGUCCUCUCAGACCAGCUACAGAUCGAAGGCUUGGUGAGCCUUUACCUCACCAACUACCUAAUCUGCCAUCGGCCGCUCCAUUCGCGCAAGGCCUUGCGGUCCCCUGCUUUCAUCCGUAGAUCGUAUGCGGUAUUAGCACAGCUUUCGCUGCGUUAUCCCCCACGAUUGGGCACGUUCCGAUGUAUUACUCACCCGUUCGCCACUCGCCACCAGGAUUGCUCCCGUGCUGCCGUUCGACUUGCAUGUGUAAGGCAUGCCGCCAGCGUUCAAUCUGAGCC
RNAcentral lists this ribosomal RNA (491 nucleotides) under uncultured Variovorax sp. Its description in RNAcentral is "partial 16S ribosomal RNA". Lineage: Bacteria; Pseudomonadati; Pseudomonadota; Betaproteobacteria; Burkholderiales; Comamonadaceae. The record is from RNAcentral.